GACGAACGCUGGCGGCGUGCCUAACACAUGCAAGUCGAACGGAAAGGCCCUGCUUUCGUGGGGUGCCCGAGUGGCGAAGGGGUGAGUAACACGUGAGUAACCUGCCCUAGACUUUGGGAUAACUUCAGGAAACUGGGGCUACUACCGGAUAGGAGCUCCCGCAGCAUGGAGGGGGUUGGAAAGUUUCGGCGGGUGGGGAUGGACUCGCGGCUUACCAGCUUGUUGGUUGGGUAGUGGCUUACCAACGAUUUGGCGGGUAGGCGGCCUGGGAGGGUGGCCGGCCACCUUGGUCCUGCGGGACGGCGCAGUCUCCUACAGGGGGCAGCAGUGGCGAGUAUUACACAGUCGGCGCGCGCCUGUUGCGGCAACCCCCCGUGCGUAAUGCCGGCCUUCGGGUUGUAAACCGCUUUCGUCUGUGACGAAGCGUGUGUGACGGUAAUGGAUGAAUAAGCACCGGCUAACUACGUG
Molecule: ribosomal RNA, 468 nt
Filed under: uncultured bacterium
Lineage: Bacteria
Description: partial 16S ribosomal RNA
Rfam family: Bacterial small subunit ribosomal RNA
Source: RNAcentral